AUGAGAUUGAGAGAAAUGAUGAGAAGGGAGGAUGGGAGGGAGGAGUAACAAAUGUGAAAACAAAAACUUGAAAGUGAAAAGAAUUUCAAAUAUAUUUCAAUUUUUAAUUUUUGUUUUCACUUUUGUUACUCCUCCCCCCAUCUUCGGAUCUUCCCAUCUCAUCUUCCUU
Molecule: microRNA precursor, 169 nt
Filed under: Prunus dulcis (almond)
Lineage: Eukaryota; Viridiplantae; Streptophyta; Magnoliopsida; Rosales; Rosaceae
Description: sRNA ncRNA
Source: RNAcentral